RNAcentral lists this long non-coding RNA (370 nucleotides) under Spirodela polyrhiza (greater duckweed). RNAcentral describes it as "long non-coding RNA (SPOL_LNC001864)". The record is from RNAcentral. Lineage: Eukaryota; Viridiplantae; Streptophyta; Magnoliopsida; Alismatales; Araceae.
UUUUCUAGAUCUUUCAAUAUGGCAAAAUUUUAUGCUUUUUAGAUAUGCCUACCACAUAAGAUUUAUUGUAUGUUACAAGUUUUAAACAUUUCAUACUUUUAGCACAUGUUCUUUCAAAUAGUUGACUUUGUUAUUUGUCAUUAAGUGAUGCCAUGUGUUGUCUUGAUUGGACUUUUCUCAUUCUAAUAUUGUGUUUGAUGAUUUUCACAAUUAUUAGAUUUUUUUAACCUUAUGUUAUGUGCCGAGUUACCAAUCAAUGCCAUGUAUCAUGUUGACUUUAGUUUCCAUGUGGCAUCUUGUCAAGUUGGAUUUAUCAUGUGUAUAUAUAUUAAUUAUUCUCAUAUUUUUUAUGUGUUCUGAUGUAAUUAUC